CAUUUACAAUUAACCCAAACCAUA
RNAcentral lists this microRNA (24 nucleotides) under Ananas comosus (pineapple). Its description in RNAcentral is "microRNA s0295_c100". The record is from RNAcentral. Lineage: Eukaryota; Viridiplantae; Streptophyta; Magnoliopsida; Poales; Bromeliaceae.